UAGUAAGGGCAGAGGGGCUGGUGUCGCCUCGCAAAGGAGGGACCCCAACAGCUGGGGGGCGGUCCCUGCGCCCUGGGAAGCAGGGGAGGCUUGGGGCUCCAAGGAAGGGUUCCAAGAGGCACAAGGGAGGACGGCAGUCAAGAAGUCUGGGGGAGAGGAGGCGGUGACAGCCCCAAGGUCAGGCGGCAUGCCUGGGGCAGAGCCCAGGGUUCCAGGGCUGGCCACAGGAAGGGACCCCUUCCAAGUCCCAGGCUCCGAGUGAUAUUAUUGAUAGUGUCAUUUAUCUUGAUGAAAGAAACCCAAACAGCCAAUGUGUUCGUUCCAGUGGUCUUAAUGAUAGAGUCCUUCCUCUUUUUUUUCUUCAUUUUUGCUAAUGUCCUGGCAUUCCCAAGAUAUUUAACAAAGCUGAUCUGGCCCAUUUUUGUAAGUGUUUAUUUUUGUAAUUUCAAUUUAAGUCUUUGUGGAUACAUAUACAUAACAGACAUGUAAACUUUGGGAAAAUGUUCACUGAAUUGAAUUCAGAGGGUAAUAGAACAUAGGGGAUGGUACUUCAUCUUUUUGGUGUCCUGGGCCCCUUUGGCAGUUUGGACUACAGAUUCCUUUUAAGAAUAAUAUUUUUAAAUGCACAAAAUAAAGUUCUUAAUUAUAUUGAACAAUAGUUCUCAAAAUGGUGUUUUUAAAAAAGUAAGAGUCAUGUUAAGAACACCUGAUUUAGUUCUGGGAUCCCUUUUCACCUGAUAAAUUUUUAUGUAACUCCUGAGUAUUUAAGUAUAUAAAAUAGAUAUAUAAAUCAAACAUUUACUGAUAACAAAUUAUAAUUUCAUGACUUCCACAUUCAGUUGUGAGACUCCAUAUGG
This 857-nucleotide long non-coding RNA is filed under the name Sarcophilus harrisii (Tasmanian devil). Its description in RNAcentral is "lncRNA (ENSSHAG00000027659.1)". Lineage: Eukaryota; Metazoa; Chordata; Mammalia; Dasyuromorphia; Dasyuridae. The record is from RNAcentral.